CCGGCUAACUCCGUGCCAGCAGCCGCGGUAAUACGGAGGGUGCGAGCGUUAAUCGGAAUUACUGGGCGUAAAGCGCAUGCAGGUGGUUUGUUAAGUUCAGAUGUGAAAGACCCGGGGCGUCAACCUCGGAAUAGCAUUUGAAACUGGCAGACUAGAGUACUGUAGAGGGGGGUAGGAAGUUUCUAGGUGUAGCGGUGAAAUAGCGUAGAGAUCUGAAGGAAUACCGGUGGCGAAGGCGGCCCCCUCGGACAGAUACUGACACUCAGAUGCGAAAGCGUGGGGAGCAAACAGGAUUAGAUACCCUGGUAG
This 309-nucleotide ribosomal RNA is filed under the name uncultured bacterium. Its description in RNAcentral is "bacterial SSU rRNA". It matches the Rfam family "Bacterial small subunit ribosomal RNA", at positions 493 to 793 of the family's 1533-position model. The record is from RNAcentral.